RNAcentral lists this transfer RNA (73 nucleotides) under Apaloderma vittatum (bar-tailed trogon). It matches the Rfam family "tRNA". From Rfam's summary of the family: Transfer RNA (tRNA) molecules are approximately 80 nucleotides in length. The record is from Rfam by way of RNAcentral. Lineage: Eukaryota; Metazoa; Chordata; Aves; Trogoniformes; Trogonidae.
GGCCAGUUAGCUCAGUCAGUUGAGCGUGGCGCUAACAACGCCAGCGUUGCAGAUUUGAUUCCUGUUCGGUCCC